UACGGGGGGGGCAAGCGUUGUUCGGAAUUACUGGGCGUAAAGGGCUCGUAGGCGGCCAACUAAGUCGGAUGUGAAAUCCCCAGGCUUAACCUGGGAACUGCAUCCGAUACUGGAUGGCUUGAAUCCGGGAGAGGGAUGCAGAAUUCCAGGUGUAGCGGUGAAAUGCGUAGAUAUCUGGAGGAACACCGGCGGCGAAGGCGGCACUCUGGGCCGGUACUGACGCUGAGGAGCGAAAGCGUGGGUAGCAAACAGG
RNAcentral lists this ribosomal RNA (253 nucleotides) under uncultured bacterium. RNAcentral's name for it is "partial 16S ribosomal RNA". It matches the Rfam family "Bacterial small subunit ribosomal RNA", at positions 524 to 776 of the family's 1533-position model. The record is from RNAcentral.